UCAGCAACAUGGCUCUGCUCAUAGAACGUCCCGUUUGUUUCUUGCGUAAAAUCGUUAAAAAUUUUGAAGCGUUUGUUCCAGAGUUACUGUAGUUUCUAUUUUAUUUUUUUCUUUGGAAGAAGCCAAAGGACGGCGUUGCUGUUUAUUUAUCGGCACCAUGUCUGGGACAAACGUGUGGAAUCGAACCCGGGAGAAAAUGAGACUUUUCUCCGAAUUGUUCGCACAAUGUGCGCCUGAGUCAGCAGCAUAUGGAAAGUGUGUGGCGGCGACCACAACCAGCCGACAUGACUUGAAGAAGGAUCUGUGUGCCAAAGAAUUUGAAGCACUGAAAACCUGCUUUACAAAUGCUGCCAAGAAAGCAGCACGAUGAACGAGAAUCAUCCUGGUCAUUAUGGAGGGAAAAAACACUUCUCCAUCACUAUUAGAGGCAAUGAAGAAUAUUUGGACUUGGAUCCAAUUCUGUUUUCUUUACUUUCUCAGUUUCCUUUUCAGGUCACUGCAUUCAAGUAAGAUCUAUUGCUGUUCUUGUUUUGUUGUAAAGAACACAAUGGAUAAAAUAUUAUUGUAAUGUAGAAUUGUGAAUAAAGACUUUGUAGCAUUUUCCUGUUAUAGUACAGUAAAUCCAGAAAGUAUUCACAGCACUUCAGUUUUACCACAUUUUGUAUUCCAAAAUGGACAAAUCUUUUUUUUUUUUUCUUCAAAAAAUCAACACACAAC
Molecule: RNA transcript, 717 nt
Organism: Thalassophryne amazonica
Lineage: Eukaryota; Metazoa; Chordata; Actinopteri; Batrachoidiformes; Batrachoididae
Gene: ndufaf8
Gene name: NADH:ubiquinone oxidoreductase complex assembly factor 8
Exons: 4
Source: RefSeq, a predicted model, not a curated record